UACGGAGGGUGCGAGCGUUGUCCGGCAUCACUGGGCGUAAAGGGCGCGUAGGCGGCUCAUGAAGGCUGUGGUGAAAGUCCGGGGCUCAACCUCGGAUCGGCCGUGGCGACUCGUGGGCUGGAGCACUGUAGAGGCGGGUGGAAUUCCGGGUGUAGCGGUGGAAUGCGUAGAGAUCCGGAAGAACACCAGUGGCGAAGGCGGCCCGCUGGGCAGUGGCUGACGCUGAAGCGCGACAGCGUGGGGAGCAAACAGG
Molecule: ribosomal RNA, 253 nt
Filed under: uncultured bacterium
Lineage: Bacteria
Description: partial 16S ribosomal RNA
Rfam family: Bacterial small subunit ribosomal RNA
Source: RNAcentral